Molecule: long non-coding RNA, 1162 nt
Filed under: Phoenix dactylifera (date palm)
Lineage: Eukaryota; Viridiplantae; Streptophyta; Magnoliopsida; Arecales; Arecaceae
Description: long non-coding RNA (PDAC_LNC002382)
Source: RNAcentral
UCCAAUUGAUGAUUAAAGGAAAAACAUGAAGAAAAUGCUAGGCUUUUCCCUAGCCUUAGCUAAGAGAGAUUUAGCUAUCCAUAUGAGAUGCAAGCAUUUUUAUAAAAGGGAUUAGCAUAGAAUAAAUAAAAUAAAGCAUAAAUCCCCUUUAUAGUUUUUUCUUCUUUCUUCUCUUAAGAAAACAGGGCACUCUAUUUUUUCUCUCCCGAUGACGCUUUCUCCCCUCCGUGGCCUGGCUGGAUGGAUCCGCGGCUUCUUCUCCUCUCUCGUCCGGCUGAGAAGAUGGAUCGGAAGAGGAGUUAAGAUGUUUUUCUUGCUGGUUCCCUUGGCCUCUUCCUCCUUCGUCGCACGCUGAUCUCCUCCUCCCUUUGGUUCCACCGGAUGCCUUCCUCCUUCCUCCACCGGAUGCCGCUCAGACUUGGAUGGAUCCAGCCGGCUGCCCUCCCUUUACUGCUGUCUCCUCCCCUAUGCCCUCCCCUUCCGUGUGGUUGCUCCCUUUUAUAAACAUCUUCGGCGUGGCUGGGAAGACCGAAGGACGCUGGAAGAUUUUGUUGCGGACGCUUAGGAACUGGGAGCGGAUGAGACGCGGGAUGGAAUGAAGAGCCUGUUUGCAUUUGCUGGGAGGUUAAGAAACCAUGCGGCUGUUUGGAAGUUGAGAAGACUUCAUGGAACAAGUUGGACUUUAAUUGCUGGAAAUGAAAUGGAGGACUCGGCUUUGAAUUGAAGAGCCGGUUUGGCCUUCCUGUUCCCUUGACCUAUGAUGUGCCACGAUGCUUGGAAGAUUCACGGUCGAUGGGAUGAAGGAACCGUGGAUGACCAUUGGGAAGAAACAGGGGAGACGCUUGGAGAUGAUGAUCGUUUGGAAGCUCCUCACGGCCGCUGGCUCGAACGGAUGGAAUGUGGCGACGGUUGGGAAGCUUUGAAGAUGUUGGAAAAUCACUUGCUUCAGCCCGUUGACGUGGAUACAUGGGAAUUUUAGGUUAGGAACUGUUGAGUUGCCUCAUCACGGACACUGGAGAAUUUGUUGAGCUCGGGCUGACAGGCGUUGGGCUGAAAACCAGCAUUAUUGAAUCUCUUGAAUUACUUGCACUCAGACAAAAAUAAAACAUUAAUUAAUUAAUUUUAUUAAUAAAGAUUAACUAUAAUACUAAUUAAGAUAAUA